This 2938-nucleotide ribosomal RNA is filed under the name Bacillus sp. UFRGS-B20. RNAcentral describes it as "bacterial LSU rRNA". It matches the Rfam family "Bacterial large subunit ribosomal RNA". The record is from RNAcentral. Lineage: Bacteria; Bacillati; Bacillota; Bacilli; Caryophanales; Bacillaceae.
UUUGGUUAAUUAGAAAGGGCGACGGUGGAUGCCUUGUACACUAGGAGUCGAGUGAAGGACGGGACAACGCCGAUAUGCUCGGGGAGCUGUAAGUAAGCUUUGGAAUCCGAAGAUUUCGAAUGGGAAACCCACCAUACUAAUGGUAUGGUAUCCUUAUUCUGAAAUACAUAAGGGUGGAAGACAGACCCAGGAUCUGAAAACAUCUAAGGACCUGGAGGAAAGAAAGCAAAAUGCGAUUUCCUGCUAGUUCGGCGAACGGAAAGCGGAACAUGCCCAAACCAAGAGGCUUGUGCUCUUGGGUUGUAGGACAUUCUUACGCGAGUUUACAAAGGAAACGAGUAGACGAAGGACCUGGAAAAGGUCGUCGUAGAGGGUACAACGCCCGUAAGUGCGAAACUUCGUUCUCUCUUGAAUGUAUCCCUGAGUACGGCGGAACACGUGAAAUUCCGUCGGAAUUCUGGGAGGACCAAUCUCCCAAGGCUAAAUACUUCCGCUUAGUAUCGAAGUUGAACCAGUAAGCCGUGAGGGAAAGGUGAAAAGCACCGCCGGAAGGGGAGUGAAAGAGAUCCUGAAACGUGUGCCUACAAAUAGUCAGUAGCCCGUUAACGUGAUUGGCGUGCCUUGUUGUAGAAAUGAACCGGCGAGUUAAGAUCGCGUGCGAGGUGAAGCUGAAGAGGCGGUAGCCGCAGCGAAAGCCAUCUGAAUAGGUGCGUUAGUACGUGGUCGUAGACCCGAAACCAGGUGACGACCCAGUUCCAGGUGAAGUUCAAGGUACACUGAAUGGAGGCCCGAACCGCACGCACGUUGAAAAGUGCGGGAGAGGUGUCAGGUAGUCGGAGAAAAUCCAAUCGAAUCUGGAGAUAGCUGGUUUCCCGAAAUAGCUUUAGGGCUAGCCUUAAGUGUAAGAGUCUUGGAGUGUUAGAGCACUGAUUGGACUAAGGGGUCUCUCAAUCGGAUUCUGACUUCAGCAAACCCGAAUGCCAAUGACUUAAUCCUUAGGAGUCAGACUGGUCGAGUGAUUGAAGAUCCGUAGUCAAAAGGGAAACAGCCCAACGCUCAGCUAGUCCAAAGUGUUAUUAAGUGGAAAAGGAUGUGGAGUUGCUUAGACAACUAGGAUGUUUGGCUUAGAACAGCCACCAUUUAAGAUCGCGUAAUAGCUCACUAGUCGAUUGACUCGCGGCGAAAAUUUUUUACGCGGGGCUAAGACACACCGAUAGUGCGAUUGUACGAAAUGGUAUCAGUGGUAGGGGAGCGUUCUAAGGACACGUAAACGUCGACCGUAAGGACUGAUGGAAAGUGCUUAGAAGUGAAGAAGCCGGUAUGGAUAGCGAAAGACGGGUGAGAAUCCCGUCACGAAUGCCUAAGUUUCCUGAGGAAGGCUCGUCCGUCAGGGUUAGUCAGCGAACUAAGAGCCGAGGCCGACCAGCGUAGCGAUGGACAACGGUGAUAUCUGUACCACUCUUUAUCGUUGACGCAAAUGGAGGGACGCAGAAGGAUAGAAGACGUGCGAUUGGUUUGCACGUCCAAGCAGUUAGGCUGAUAAGUAGGGCAAUCCCCUUAACAUAAAGGCUGAGCUGGAUGGAAGCGCCUUAUGGAGCGAAGUGCUUUGAUUCCCCCCUGCAAAAAAGCUUCUAGCGAGAUAAAAGGUGCUGUACCGCAAACCGACACAGGUAGCGAGGAGAGAAUCCUAAGUGUGCGAGAGACUCGGGUUAAGGAACUCGGCAAAAGCGGCAAAAUGACCCCCGUAAUUCGGUGAAGAAGGCGGUGCUUUUUUAACGCGAAGCCGCAGUGAAUAGCCCAAGCGACUGUUUAGGCAAAAACACAGCUCUCUGCGAAGCCGUAAGGCGACAGUAUGGAGGUGGACACUGCCCGGUGCUGGAAAGGUUAAGGAGAGGGUUAGGCGUAAGCGAAGCUCUGAACUGAAGCCCCAGUAAACGGGCCGUAACUAUAAACGGUCCUAAGGUAGGCGAAAUUCUUGUCGGGUAAGUUCCGACCGCACAAAGGUGUAACGAUUUUGGCACAUGUUAACCAGAGAUCGGUGAAUGUAUAGUACCUGUGAAGAUGCAGAGUACCCGCGACAGGACGGAAAGACCCCGUGGAGCUUUUACUGUAGCCUGAUUAUUGAUUUUGGUACAGUUUGUCAGGAUAGGGCGGAGCCAUUGCAACGGGAGCGCUAGCUCGGUGGAAGGCGCUGGGGGUACCGCCCUGCUGUAUUGAAUUCUACCUACGGGCUUAUCGACCCGGGAGACCAGUGUCACGUGGGCAGUGGGACUGGGGCCGGUUCGCCUCCUAAAGUGUAACGGAGGCGCCCAAAGGUUCCUCAGAAUGUUGGAAAAUCAUUCGAGAGUGCAAAGCAUAAGGGAGCUUGACUGCAGAACCUACAAGUCGAGCAGGGACGAAGUCGGGCAUUUAGUGAUCCGGUGGUUCCGCAUGAGGGACCAAUCGACUCAAACGGAUAACAAGCUACCCCGGCGUAUAAAGGCGAUUAUCUCCCCAAGAGAUCCACAUCGACGGGGAGGUUUGGGCACCUCGAUGUCGGCUGCAUCGCAAUCACUGGGUUGUUAGUCUGGUCCCAAGGGUUGGGCUGUUCGCCAUUAAAGCGGUACGCGAGCUGGGUUCAGAACGUUGUGAGACAGUCGGAUCCCUAUCCGUCUUGGGCGUAGGAAUUUGAGAAGCUCCUUAGUACGAGAGGACCGGGAUGGAGGACCCGCGGAUGUACAGAUUGUUUCGCCAAGGGCAUAGGGGCCCUCCGGGUAGCUAUUGCGCGAAGGGAUCAAGUGGCGGAAGCACUAAGCAUGAAGCCCCCCUCAAGAUGAGAUUUCCCAUGGCGUAACUAGUAAGAUCCCUGAAAGAUGAUCCAGGUUGAUAGGUUCGAGGUGGAAGCAUGGUGACAUGUGGAGCUGACGAAUUACUAAAAGAUCGAAGGACUUAACCUAUA